Long non-coding RNA from Camelus dromedarius (Arabian camel), 783 nucleotides. RefSeq lists it as uncharacterized. The record is from RefSeq and is a predicted model, not a curated record. NCBI's taxonomy places the organism in Eukaryota, Metazoa, Chordata, Mammalia, Artiodactyla, Camelidae. The transcript is spliced from 4 exons.
UCCACAGCAACCCCGUGAGAUGGUGAUUAGUGUGCAUUUUAUGGGACCACUCAACUGAGGCCCAUUUAAGUUAAACAAGGUGCACAGAGUUGAACAGCUGGGAAAGAUUUAACCGGGUCUGCCUGGCCCGAAGUAUCCAGGUUCCUCUUGGCAGCCGCACUUGGGGUAACAGUGACGCCGCUGGAGUAACAGCAAAGAGGUUAAGAGCUCACAGGGCUCUUUGGAUGGUGUACCAGGCCCUGGCAAGACCUCACUGCCGCCUCUUUGUCCAGACGGAGACCAGAAAUGGUUCCUACAGUGGCCGAGCUUGACAGCAAGUUCUAGGACAAAACCUGGGAAUCUGCAUUUCCACCAACUCCAAGGCGGUGGUGAUGCUGAGACCGCUGGUGUAGGGACCACACUUUGAGAAGCUAGACUCCAAGCUGGACAUCUGGAGCAAAACCGAAGGAGCCCCCGAUCUCAGAGGUGGACACUGAAGCCCAAGGAGGCCACGGAGCUCAUGAAAGGGCCAGCCACCAGCGUCCUGACAGCCCAAGCACAGGGGAAGAGCAUGGGUGGCUGACCCGGGAAUCACCAUGUCUACCUCCACCAACCAGGAUGAAGCCCCGCUCAGCCUUGAAAGUACACUUGCCUUUGUCAUCUACAGAGGCCCAGACCCACCACCCCUUCCCAUUCAUUGUCUUCAGCCCAUCGGCCCACACAGUGAGCUGAAGUUCUGGGGUGUGCAGCACAGCACAGGGGCCUACGGAGGACAUGGGGAGUCCAGUGUGAGGGCCCACAGCC